Molecule: ribosomal RNA, 468 nt
Filed under: uncultured bacterium
Lineage: Bacteria
Description: partial 16S ribosomal RNA
Rfam family: Bacterial small subunit ribosomal RNA
Source: RNAcentral
GACGAACGCUGGCGGCGUGCUUAACACAUGCAAGUCGAACGGAAAGGCCCUGCUUUUGUGGGGUGCUCGAGUGGCGAACGGGUGAGUAACACGUGAGUAACCUGCCCUUGACUUUGGGAUAACUUCAGGAAACUGGGACUAAUACCGGAUAGGGGCUCCUGCUGCAUGGUGGGGGUUGGAAAGUUUCGGCGGUUGGGGAUGGACUCGCGGCUUAUCAGCUUGUUGGUGGGGUAGUGGCUUACCAAGGCUUUGACGGGUAGCCGGCCUGAGAGGGUGACCGGCCACAUUGGGACUGAGAUACGGCCCAGACUCCUACGGGAGGCAGCAGUGGGGAAUAUUGCACAAUGGGCGGAAGCCUGAUGCAGCAACGCCGCGUGCGGGAUGACGGCCUUCGGGUUGUAAACCGCUUUCGCCUGUGACGAAGCGUGAGUGACGGUAAUGGGUAAAGAAGCACCGGCUAACUACGUG